AUGAGAGCAAGGAGGAGCUGGCCUUUACGUGUUGCAGAGGAUACCACUUCUGAUGUGUGCACAGGCUACAAAUCCAUGCAUGUGGGCGUCGAGCUCGUCCAAGAGGCAAGGAUCUAUCACUUGCGCCCAGAGUUUAAUAGCCUCAAGCUGGCUGAUGGAGAGCCUGAGAAUGACUUUGCUGCGAAAUUCACGAUGCUUGUGGGGCAUAUGCAUGAGCUUGGAAACACGAUGGAGGAGAAAUAUGUUGUGAAGAAGUUGCGAGCUGUCUCCAACAAAUUCAUCCAUUUUGCUUCAUCAAUUGCGCUAUUUAGUGAUGUCAACAAGAUGGCCAUGGAGGAUAUUGGGUCACUCGACUCAAGGCCUAUGAAGAGCUUAUCAAGGGGCUAA
Molecule: ribosomal RNA, 387 nt
Filed under: Triticum aestivum (bread wheat)
Lineage: Eukaryota; Viridiplantae; Streptophyta; Magnoliopsida; Poales; Poaceae
Description: partial small subunit ribosomal RNA
Source: RNAcentral